This 716-nucleotide long non-coding RNA is filed under the name Apteryx owenii (little spotted kiwi). RNAcentral's name for it is "lncRNA (ENSAOWG00000014622.1)". Lineage: Eukaryota; Metazoa; Chordata; Aves; Apterygiformes; Apterygidae. The record is from RNAcentral.
CCAGGCGUCCGGGCACCAAUGUGGCCCCAUCCCCCCUCCCCCCCCUGCCAAGGAACCCAGGCAUCCGGAGUGGGGACCCAGGCGUCCGGGGAAGGGCCCAGGCGUCCGGGAAGGGACCCAGGCAUCCGGGAGGGGCCCAGGCGUCCGGGAAGGGGCCCAGGCGUCCGGGAGGGGCCCAGGCAUCUGGGGAGGGGCCCAGGUGUCCGGGGAGGGGCCCAGGCGUUCGGGGAAGGGACCCAGAUGUUCGGGGAAGGGGCCCAGGCGUCCGGGAGGGGCCCAGGCAUUUGGGAGGGGCCCAGGCAUCCGGGGAGGGACCCAGGCAUCCGGGGCGGGGCCCAGGUGUCCGGGAGGGACCCAGGCGUUCAGGGAAGGGGCCCAGGUGUCCGGGAGGGGCCCAGGCGUUCGGGGGAGGGGCCCAGGCGUCCGGGAGGGGCCCAGGCAUCCAGGGAGAGGCCCAGGCGUCCGGGAGGGGCCCAGGCAUCCGGGGCGGGGCCCAGGUGUCCGGGAGGGGCCCAGGCGUCCGGGACUCACCCAGGGAGUCGCGCAGCGAGGCCAGAUCCUGCUGCAGCUGCUGCUGCUGCGUCCGCGCCGCCGCCAUGGCCUCAUCCAGGCUCCCUGUGGGGACCCGGCGGGGGGGGGGCUCAGCACCCCCAAAAUAGGGGCUCAGCACCCAACAUCGGGGCUCAGCACCCCAACAUCAGGGCUCAGCACCCCAG